UUAAGCGACUAAGCGUACACGGUGGAUGCCCUGGCAGUCAGAGGCGAUGAAGGACGUGCUAAUCUGCGAAAAGCGUCGGUAAGGUGAUAUGAACCGUUACAGCCGGCGAUGUCCGAAUGGGGAAACCCAGUGCAAUUCGUUGCACUAUCGUUAACUGAAUACAUAGGUUAACGAGGCGAACCGGGGGAACUGAAACAUCUAAGUACCCCGAGGAAAAGAAAUCAACCGAGAUUCCCCCAGUAGCGGCGAGCGAACGGGGAGCAGCCCAGAGUCUGAAUCAGCUUGUGUUAGUGGAACGGUCUGGAAAGUCCGACGGUACAGGGUGAUAGUCCCGUACACCAAAAUGCACAGGUUGUGAACUCGAAGAGUAGGGCGGGACACGUGGUAUCCUGUCUGAAUAUGGGGGGACCAUCCUCCAAGGCUAAAUACUCCUGACUGACCGAUAGUGAACCAGUACCGUGAGGAAAGGCGAAAAGAACCCCGGCGAGGGAGUGAAAAGAACCUGAAACCGUGUACGUACAAGCAGUGGGAGCACCUUCGGGUGUGACUGCGUACCUUUGUAUAAUGGGUCAGCGACUUAUAUUCUGUAGCAAGGUUAACCGUAUAGGGGAGCCGCAGGGAAACCGAGUCUUAACUGGGCGUUAAGUUGCAGGGUAUAGACCCGAAACCCGGUGAUCUAGCCAUGGGCAGGUUGAAGGUUGGGUAACACUAACUGGAGGACCGAACCGACUAAUGUUGAAAAAUUAGCGGAUGACUUGUGGCUGGGGGUGAAAGGCCAAUCAAACCGGGAGAUAGCUGGUUCUCCCCGAAAGCUAUUUAGGUAGCGCCUCGUGAACUCAUCUUCGGGGGUAGAGCACUGUUUCGGCUAGGGGGUCAUCCCGACUUACCAACCCGAUGCAAACUACGAAUACCGAAGAAUGUUAUCACGGGAGACACACGGCGGGUGCUAACGUCCGUCGUGAAGAGGGAAACAACCCAGACCGCCAGCUAAGGUCCCAAAGUCAUGGUUAAGUGGGAAACGAUGUGGGAAGGCACAGACAGCCAGGAUGUUGGCUUAGAAGCAGCCAUCAUUUAAAGAAAGCGUAAUAGCUCACUGGUCGAGUCGGCCUGCGCGGAAGAUGUAACGGGGCUAAACCAUGCACCGAAGCUGCGGCAGCGACACUAUGUGUUGUUGGGUAGGGGAGCGUUCUGUAAGCCUGCGAAGGUGUGCUGUGAGGCAUGCUGGAGGUAUCAGAAGUGCGAAUGCUGACAUAAGUAACGAUAAAGCGGGUGAAAAGCCCGCUCGCCGGAAGACCAAGGGUUCCUGUCCAACGUUAAUCGGGGCAGGGUGAGUCGACCCCUAAGGCGAGGCCGAAAGGCGUAGUCGAUGGGAAACAGGUUAAUAUUCCUGUACUUGGUGUUACUGCGAAGGGGGGACGGAGAAGGCUAUGUUAGCCGGGCGACGGUUGUCCCGGUUUAAGCAUGUAGGCUGGUUAUCCAGGCAAAUCCGGAUAAUCAAGGCUGAGGUGUGAUGACGAGGCACUACGGUGCUGAAGUAACAAAUGCCCUGCUUCCAGGAAAAGCCUCUAAGCAUCAGGUAACAUCAAAUCGUACCCCAAACCGACACAGGUGGUCAGGUAGAGAAUACCAAGGCGCUUGAGAGAACUCGGGUGAAGGAACUAGGCAAAAUGGUGCCGUAACUUCGGGAGAAGGCACGCUGGUGUAGGUGAAGUCCCUGCGGAUGGAGCUGAGACCAGUCGAAGAUACCAGCUGGCUGCAACUGUUUAUUAAAACACAGCACUGUGCAAACACGAAAGUGGACGUAUACGGUGUGACGCCUGCCCGGUGCCGGAAGGUUAAUUGAUGGGGUUAUCCGUAAGGAGAAGCUCUUGAUCGAAGCCCCGGUAAACGGCGGCCGUAACUAUAACGGUCCUAAGGUAGCGAAAUUCCUUGUCGGGUAAGUUCCGACCUGCACGAAUGGCGUAAUGAUGGCCAGGCUGUCUCCACCCGAGACUCAGUGAAAUUGAACUCGCUGUGAAGAUGCAGUGUACCCGCGGCAAGACGGAAAGACCCCGUGAACCUUUACUAUAGCUUGACACUGAACAUUGAGCCUUGAUGUGUAGGAUAGGUGGGAGGCUUUGAAGCGUGGACGCCAGUCUGCGUGGAGCCAACCUUGAAAUACCACCCUUUAAUGUUUGAUGUUCUAACGUUGGCCCCUGACCGGGGUUGCGGACAGUGUCUGGUGGGUAGUUUGACUGGGGCGGUCUCCUCCCAAAGCGUAACGGAGGAGCACGAAGGUUAGCUAAUCCUGGUCGGACAUCAGGAGGUUAGUGCAAUGGCAUAAGCUAGCUUGACUGCGAGCGUGACGGCGCGAGCAGGUGCGAAAGCAGGUCAUAGUGAUCCGGUGGUUCUGAAUGGAAGGGCCAUCGCUCAACGGAUAAAAGGUACUCCGGGGAUAACAGGCUGAUACCGCCCAAGAGUUCAUAUCGACGGCGGUGUUUGGCACCUCGAUGUCGGCUCAUCACAUCCUGGGGCUGAAGUAGGUCCCAAGGGUAUGGCUGUUCGCCAUUUAAAGUGGUACGCGAGCUGGGUUUAGAACGUCGUGAGACAGUUCGGUCCCUAUCUGCCGUGGGCGCUGGAGAAUUGAGGGGGGCUGCUCCUAGUACGAGAGGACCGGAGUGGACGCAUCACUGGUGUUCGGGUUGUCAUGCCAAUGGCACUGCCCGGUAGCUAAAUGCGGAAGAGAUAAGUGCUGAAAGCAUCUAAGCACGAAACUUGCCCCGAGAUGAGUUCUCCCUGAGACUAUAAGUCUCCUGAAGGAACGUUAAAGACGAUGACGUUGAUAGGCCGGGUGUGUAAGCGCAGCGAUGCGUUGAGCUAACCGGUACUAAUGAACCGUGAGGCUUAACCU
Molecule: ribosomal RNA, 2890 nt
Filed under: Klebsiella pneumoniae
Lineage: Bacteria; Pseudomonadati; Pseudomonadota; Gammaproteobacteria; Enterobacterales; Enterobacteriaceae
Description: bacterial LSU rRNA
Rfam family: Bacterial large subunit ribosomal RNA
Source: RNAcentral